CCUACGGGCGGCAGCAGUGGGGAAUAUUGGACAAUGGGGGGAACCCUAAUCCAGCCAUGCCGCGUGUGUGAAGAAGGCCCUCGGGUUGUAAAGCACUUUCAGUGAGGAAGAACGCCUGGUGGUUAAUACCCAUCAGGAAAGACAUCACUCACAGAAGAAGCACCGGCUAACUCCGUGCCAGCAGCCGCGGUAAUACGGAGGGUGCGAGCGUUAAUCGGAAUUACUGGGCGUAAAGCGCGCGUAGGUGGCUUGAUAAGCCGGUUGUGAAAGCCCCGGGCUCAACCUGGGAACGGCAUCCGGAACUGUCAAGCUAGAGUGCAGGAGAGGAAGGUAGAAUUCCCGGUGUAGCGGUGAAAUGCGUAGAGAUCGGGAGGAAUACCAGUGGCGAAGGCGGCCUUCUGGACUGACACUGACACUGAGGUGCGAAAGCGUGGGUAGCAAACAGGAUUAGAUACCCUUGUAGUC
RNAcentral lists this ribosomal RNA (465 nucleotides) under Vreelandella stevensii. RNAcentral describes it as "partial 16S ribosomal RNA". It matches the Rfam family "Bacterial small subunit ribosomal RNA", at positions 338 to 795 of the family's 1533-position model. Lineage: Bacteria; Pseudomonadati; Pseudomonadota; Gammaproteobacteria; Oceanospirillales; Halomonadaceae. The record is from RNAcentral.